UACGGAAGGCAGCAGUGGGGAAUAUUGCACAAUGGGCGAAAGCCUGAUGCAGCUAUGCCGCGUGUAUGAAGAAGGCCUUAGGGUUGUAAAGUACUUUCAUCGGGGAGGAAAAAACAAAACUAAUAAUUUUAUUUCUUGACGUUACCCGAAAAAGAAGCACCGGCUAACUCCGUACCAGCAGCCGCGGUAAUACGGAGGGUGCUAGCGUUAAUCAGAAUUACUGGGCGUAAAGAGCACGUAGGUGGUUUUUUUUAAGUUCAGAUGUGAAAUCCCUGGGCUUAACCUGGAACUGCAUUUUGAAACUGAAAUACUAGAGUAUCGUAGAGGGAGGUAGAAUUCUAGGUGUAGCGGUGAAAUGCGUAGAUAUCUGGAGGAAUACCUGUGGCGAAAGCGGCCUCCUAAACGAAUACUGACACUGAGGGUGCGAAAGCGUGGGGAGCAAACAGGGAUUAGAUACC
Molecule: ribosomal RNA, 458 nt
Filed under: uncultured bacterium
Lineage: Bacteria
Description: bacterial SSU rRNA
Rfam family: Bacterial small subunit ribosomal RNA
Source: RNAcentral